RNAcentral lists this ribosomal RNA (254 nucleotides) under uncultured bacterium. RNAcentral's name for it is "partial 16S ribosomal RNA". It matches the Rfam family "Bacterial small subunit ribosomal RNA", at positions 524 to 776 of the family's 1533-position model. The record is from RNAcentral.
UACGUAGGGUGCAAGCGUUAAUCGGAAUUACUGGGCGUAAAGCGUGCGCAGGCGGCUAUGCAAGACAGAUGUGAAAUCCCCGGGCUCAACCUGGGAACUGCAUUUGUGACUGCAUGGCUAGAGUGCGGCAGAGGGGGAUGGAAUUCCGCGUGUAGCAGUGAAAUGCGUGAGAUAUGCGGAGGAACACCGAUGGCGAAGGCAAUCCCCUGGGCCUGCACUGACGCUCAUGCACGAAAGCGUGGGGAGCAAACAGG